RNAcentral lists this ribosomal RNA (105 nucleotides) under uncultured bacterium. RNAcentral's name for it is "partial 16S ribosomal RNA". It matches the Rfam family "Bacterial small subunit ribosomal RNA", at positions 1379 to 1482 of the family's 1533-position model. The record is from RNAcentral.
CCUUGUACACACCGCCCGUCACGCCAUGGGAGUCGGAUUGCACCAGAAGUAGGUAGGUUAACCGCAAGGGGGCCGCUUACCACGGUGUGUUUCAUGACUGGGGUG